This is a non-coding RNA of Acanthosepion pharaonis, 114 nucleotides long. The record is from the annotation of a GenBank genome assembly. Lineage: Eukaryota; Metazoa; Mollusca; Cephalopoda; Sepiida; Sepiidae.
UUACGGCUAUACCACGAUGAAACACAGGUUCUCGUACAAUAACCAAUGUUAAGCAACGUCGAGCUUGAUCAGUACCUAUAUGGGUGACCUCUUAGGAAUACCAGGUAAUGUAAG